CAUUAUUUGCCAUUGGCACAUAAUUAUAUCAUUAUCAAAGAGAAAAAAAAACCUGUCUGGGGAUUACAAAUAGCCAUUUUUGGCAAUUUGCAGAACUUGAAAUUAAUCAUGGCAAAUUUAUCAUGCAGCCAGAUGUAGGUUGUGCGUGAUACUAAGGUUCGAGUGCAAGACCAUUUCAAAUUAACAUUUAAAGAUAUGUGGACCAUCUCAUAACAUUCUCAUGUGUGUGUUGCACUUAGACCUGGGUAACUCUUUAAAAUGAACAAGAGAAUUGUUCUUAAUUUCAAAGAAGGUUUGAGUGAUUUGCACUAGAGAUGUCAUUGGUGAUCACAACAAAAAAUGAGACCUAUCGGAAUAAGACAUACAUCUUCAAGUAGUGGUUGGAAAGUUUAAAUGUAAAGGAGAGCAUGUUUUAUUUGAACAUUAAGAAUUCUGCAUCUUUUGCACUCUUAUCAUUAUGACAUUUUUGCUAUUUGCCUGCAGUGCAUGCAGCAAAGCGUUUGGUGCUAUUAAUAUUUUCAGAUAGGUUGUUUUGAUCACAACAGUUCCUUGGUUGUUGCAGACAAAAGGAAAAGCCCUGUUUGUCUCCUUAGAUGGUGUCAAACUGGAUCAUCCCUGUUCUGCUGUCUUUGGACUGCAUUUCCCAUAAUUCUGUGAAUCUUGGGAGUUCUGAUCCAACAGCAUUUGGGGAAACUACAUAUUGGCACCCUUGAUUUAAAGCAGACUUCCCCAAACUCCGGCCCUCCAGAUGUUGCUGAA
Non-coding RNA from Pelobates cultripes (western spadefoot toad), 759 nucleotides. The record is from the annotation of a GenBank genome assembly. NCBI's taxonomy places the organism in Eukaryota, Metazoa, Chordata, Amphibia, Anura, Pelobatidae.